Molecule: unclassified non-coding RNA, 375 nt
Filed under: Hevea brasiliensis (rubber tree)
Lineage: Eukaryota; Viridiplantae; Streptophyta; Magnoliopsida; Malpighiales; Euphorbiaceae
Source: RNAcentral
GAGGAUUCCUUGGAAGAGAGGGAAUACGAUGGUGUUGAGGAGGAUGAUAAUGUCACCAUUGGAGAUUAUGGGGCCCGAAUGAGAUUGCAAGGAGCUUCUAAAUACGUUUCCAUGUAUUCCCAACAAGGAAAAAAAGGGGUUAAUCAGGAUGCCAUGACUGUUUGGGAGGAAUUUAUUGGUAAUAAAGGUAUGUUUUUCUGUGGAGUGUUUGACGGUCAUGGUCCCUACGGCCACAAGGUUGCUCGCCAUGUUCGUGAUACUUUACCCUCUAGGCUCUCCACCGCUAUCAAACUAUCACAGGUUAAUAACUUAAGAUAUGGUGAUGAUGCUGUCGAUGGAAACGAUAGUGAUGGAGCAGAUAAAAGUGAUGCUAGU